Molecule: ribosomal RNA, 254 nt
Filed under: uncultured prokaryote
Description: partial 16S ribosomal RNA
Rfam family: Bacterial small subunit ribosomal RNA
Source: RNAcentral
UACGGAGGAUCCAAGCGUUAUCCGGAAUUACUGGGCGUAAAGAGUUGCGUAGGUGGCAUAGUAAGCAAGUAGUGAAAUCGUGAGGCUCAACCUCAUACCCAUUACUUGAACUGCUAAGCUUGAGCAUGAGAGAGGUAGAUGGAAUUUCUAGUGUAGGAGUGAAAUCCGUAGAUAUUAGAAGGAACACCGAUGGCGUAGGCAGUCUACUGGCUCAUUGCUGACACUAAGGCACGAAAGCGUGGGGAGCGAACGGG